Xyrauchen texanus (razorback sucker) is the source of this 1569-nucleotide RNA transcript. It is a transcript of the gene named coatomer subunit zeta-1-like, with no coding region annotated. The transcript is spliced from 10 exons. Lineage: Eukaryota; Metazoa; Chordata; Actinopteri; Cypriniformes; Catostomidae. The record is from RefSeq and is a predicted model, not a curated record.
GUCAGAGGGUUUUAGGAGCGCUACUGUAAUGACAGCUCAAAGCUGUCCACGUCAACACUGAGCUGCCACAAUGGACUCCGCGGCUUUGGAACCAUCGCUGUACACAGUGAAGACCAUCUUCAUCUUAGACAAUGAUGGAAACAGACUGCUUUCAAAGUACUAUGAUCCAGAGCUCUACCCCUCCAUUAAGGAGCAGAUGAAUUUUGAAAAGAACGUCUUCAACAAAACGCAUAAGGCCGACAAUGAGAUUGCCUUCAUAGAGGGAAUGACGAUAGUCUACAAGAGCAGCAUAGACUUGUUCUUCUAUGUAGUUGGCAGUGCUCAGGAGAAUGAGCUCAUGCUCAUGGCAGUGCUGAAUUGCUUGUUUGAGUCUAUCAGUCAGAUGCUCAGGAAAAACGUGGAAAAGAGAACUCUGUUGGAUAAUAUGGAUGGGGUUUUCCUGGUGGUGGAUGAGAUCAUCGACGGAGGGGUGAUACUGGAGAGUGACCCCCAACAGGUCAUUGAGAAGGUCAACUACAGGUGUGGGACGGAGCAGGCCUUUGGCUUCGUUCUUUUCGAUUACAUCACUGGUAACAUGGAGGGCCAAGAAGAGAAGCGACAGCUCUUGUAGUUCUCCUUCAGCCCCCCUCCCUCUCUCCCCUCAAUUUAGUGAUGAUGGCGAGAGAGAGAGAAGGUUGAGGAUGAGAGAGUGGGCAGGUAGAUGACAAUCCUUUAUCAGAACAGAGUGUGGCACAGGUGUUACAUUCAGCAAAGGAGCAGAUCAAAUGGUCAAUUCUGAAAUAGGUCAAAUACUUUUCAUGCAGGCAUCUGUAAAUUAUUAAAAGGGAAUUUUGAAGAAAUGUCAUUUUUAUUUCAAUGAUGUUGUUGAUGUAAUGAAUUAUAGAAAUAAAUAAGAUCAUCUGCAGCUCAUGUUUAGUGUUAAGUUUGAAUAUUAUAUAUAUUUUUGUCAUAUUAAAGAAGGCCACUUUUCUCUUUUUUUAUGAUAUGAACAGUAGAAACAUAUUUGCCAUUACAAUUUUGAAUGAAAUAUCAGCUCUGUAAUACACAAAUAUUUGUCUAUUUCCAAAGCAGUUUAAAGCAAUUGUGUGUUUUCAUUUUUUUAGCAAACCUGCAUAUGCUGUCUAUGGAUACACAUUUUAUUUUACACUGUCAGAGAGAUACAGUCACAGAUCAAAGCGUGCAAAUAGUCUUUUCUGUCAUAUUUAUUAAUCACAAUUGUAAUCACAACCUUUUGUCAAUAAAAUGCAGAGCUCUGUUACACUACAGUUAUAAUCAGGCCUAUUUUGCUAUUUUAUAAAUGUUCGUUUAUUGUUUAAAUGAGAAAGAGGCAAUAUUAUGAGAUAAUAACAUGUAGCUGAAAUAAUAAUAUGAAUAGAUUUUUAUUUUUAUUUUGAUGCUACAUUAUAACCGAAAGUAAUAUAUGUUUGAAUGUGUAUUGCCUAUUUACAUGUAAAACUGUGUAAACUCAUUUACGCCGAACGUGUUUAAUUUAUUAUAAACAUGUUUUGAAAUAAUUAUGCACAAACGUGCAUCAUGUCACUGACAAGUAAUAAAUAUGUUUUUAUAGCA